GUGCCAGCCGCCGCGGUAAUACGUAGGGUGCGAGCGUUAAUCGGAAUUACUGGGCGUAAAGCGUGCGCAGGCGGUUUGUUAAGUCAGAUGUGAAAGCCCCGGGCUUAACCUGGGAAUGGCAUUUGAAACUGGCAGGCUGGAGUGCGGCAGAGGGGGGUGGAAUUCCACGUGUAGCAGUGAAAUGCGUAGAGAUGUGGAGGAACACCGAUGGCGAAGGCAGCCCCCUGGGCCGACACUGACGCUCAGGCACGAAAGCGUGGGGAGCAAACAGGAUUAGAAACCCGUGUAGUCC
RNAcentral lists this ribosomal RNA (292 nucleotides) under uncultured bacterium. RNAcentral's name for it is "partial 16S ribosomal RNA". It matches the Rfam family "Bacterial small subunit ribosomal RNA", at positions 505 to 796 of the family's 1533-position model. The record is from RNAcentral.